GACGAACGCUGGCGGCGUGCUUAACACAUGCAAGUCGAGCGGAGCGGCGAACGGGUGAGUAACGCGUGAGUAACUGCCCCCCUCUCUGGGAUAACAGUUGGAAACGGCUGCUAAUACCGGAUAGUGGGGGUUGACUCGCGGCUUAUCAGCUUGUUGGUUGGGUAGUGGCCUACCAAGGCGACGCCGGGUAGCCGGUCUGAGAGUGCGACCAGCCACAUUGGGCUGAGGUACGGCCCAAACUCAUACGGGGGGCAUGGGUGGGGAAUAUAGCACGAUAGGGGGAACGCUGAUGCAGCAACGCCGCGUGCGGGAUGUCGGCCUUCGGGUUGUAAACCGCUUUCAGCCAUGACGCGGUAGUGGCAGAAGAAGCACCGGCUAACUACGUGCCAGCAGCCGCGGUAAUAC
RNAcentral lists this ribosomal RNA (405 nucleotides) under uncultured bacterium. RNAcentral describes it as "partial 16S ribosomal RNA". It matches the Rfam family "Bacterial small subunit ribosomal RNA", at positions 28 to 526 of the family's 1533-position model. The record is from RNAcentral.